CCCAGGAGACAGGCCAGGCCAAUCAGAGGCCACUCAGGCCAGUAGAACGUAAGGAGGGCAAGACGAUUGGUUUAUUACAAUUAACACCCGCCCUAAUAGUCCGUAGCAACCACACAGACAGCGCGUGUCGAGGGAUGAGACGUGUGUCUGGUGCUAUGGUGUGGGGGUGUAGCUACUGCUAGCAAACGACGGGAUGGACUCCUCCCAACGAGGAAAAAGGAAAGGCGGCGCCGAGAGGGAGAGAGAGAGAAAAAGAAAGGCGCUGGAGGAUGCUGCGGCGAAAUGCCUUAAAGUCACAGACUUAUUCAGGCUCCCCAUACCAUUAAAAAAAAAGAUGCGUCUACAAGUGUGGGUGUGUGAACAUGCGUGUGUGGUCAAGACCAGGGUGGCCUGAUGCAUGAAUGACUCUUGGCCUGAAAAAGUUUCCCAGUCCGGCCCUGGU
Long non-coding RNA from Melanotaenia boesemani (Boeseman's rainbowfish), 442 nucleotides. RefSeq lists it as uncharacterized. Lineage: Eukaryota; Metazoa; Chordata; Actinopteri; Atheriniformes; Melanotaeniidae. The transcript is spliced from 2 exons. The record is from RefSeq and is a predicted model, not a curated record.